CAGGGCUGUAUGUAAUCCAGACGUGGCUUACUGACUCUCAUCUCUCUAGUCUCCCUCGAGCGGCGAUGUUCCAGGUGUACCAGCGCUACCGGGACUGUUGUUAAAAAUGCAGAUUCCUGGACCCACCCUAUAGACCACCAGUCAGAACCUCCGGGGGUGGGGCCCCAGAAAUGGGCCAUUUAAAAUUAAAUUCCCUGGUGACUCUGUGCAUGCUAAUGUUUGGGAAACUUUAUUUAAAGAAAAUGAUCUAAGACUGAUGUGAAUAGACCCUGUUAGUCCCAUUCGGUCUUGAAAAAUCUUUUGAAAUUGUGUUUACCUGCGUUUAAAUUUAACCCGCUAUUGUCAGGUUGUGUGUUUACUAAUUGCUUUGACUUUUGAGAUAGCGGCCAUUGCGUGUGUGUGUGUGUGUGUGUGUGUGUGUGCGUGCGUGCGUGUGUGUGCGUGUGCGUGUGUGUCCCUUGUACUGUUGGGACCCAGAAGAGAAGAGGUGAAUUCAUCCUACAGCUUGGACGCCAGGCAAGGCUGUACGACAGCUUUUUACCCCCACGGCAUCUACUACUCCUAGUAAUAAUCGUAAACGAGGUUUGAUUAUGAAGGUGCCUGUAUCCUGACACCCCCUCUUUCACCCCAGGCAGCUGAGCCCACAUAAAUAAAGCUCAGGGAUAGCAGAGAGAGGUGGGAGGGGUGAUGAUGAAGGGCUUGGGAGUCAGACAGUCCCGGGUUCAGAUUCCGCACCCCCACUCCCGUGCUGUGAGCUCAUACUCAUCAUCAUAAAGCCGCCAACGCACACGGCAUUCACGCAGUGCCGGGUACUUUUCCGUGGGUUUCACGUGCACAUUAACAAUCAAGCCUUGCCACUCGAUGAGAUUGCUCUACUGGUAUUAUUGAUGUUUCGUAAGUGGGGAAACCAAGGCACAGAGGUGGCGAUGCUGCUCUCUGAAACCUGGAAGUCAACGAGUGGUCUGAGAGCUUGCCCACGAGAAAGGGAGGGAAUCGACCGUGCGGAGGGAAGCCAGGAUUAGCAAUCGUUGAAACCAGUGACUCAGGGUUUGGGAGCAAGAGCUCAGGGAACAGGACGCCCAUGGGAGAGAGCGGUGACAUUCUUGGCGUGCCCACCACGAGAGCCCGGAAUUCACGUCUCAGUGAGUCAUGUGCAUGAAAGAGAGUUAUCUGUCAUUCAAGAUUUCUGGGCUGGCGUUCAGGAAGUGACAUGCUGGUGAGGACGAGAGGCUGCAAGAAGACGAGCCAUGUGCCAAGGUCACGUGCCAGAAAGUGGUGGUGCAAGCUCGGAUGCCAGCGCACUGUCCUAAGCUCUCUGCCAUCGACCUCUGGACCCUGCCUUACCCGUCUUCCUGAUGCAAACCCCACCCCACCCAGAGGCAGGAGACAUGCUUAUAUGUUCAUAGUUAGGUUGGCACAGAGUCUACUAUACCGCCCAGCAGGAGCCCGAGCUUCAAGGCUCCACCCCUGGUCCAUCUGCAUGAGGGACGCUCUGGGGACAGCCACUGACCAUAGUUUGGGUCCUACCCCUUCAUGAGGCUUGUUCUGUAUGAUAUUCCCUCAACCCCCUGGACUCUGACCUCACUUUCUUACAUGGGCUGGCACAGUCCCACUGCCAAGGUCUUGCUUGACUGUCCAGUGCAUCCCUGCCCCGCCCGCCCGCUGCUAUUAUACACCAUUCUCCCUGCCUCACCUGGACUCUGAUGUCACCUGGGUAGGUGAUUCACAAUGAAUGCAUUGACUCCUCACAACAAACCUCUAAAAUGGA
Molecule: long non-coding RNA, 1768 nt
Organism: Pteropus alecto (black flying fox)
Lineage: Eukaryota; Metazoa; Chordata; Mammalia; Chiroptera; Pteropodidae
Exons: 3
Source: RefSeq, a predicted model, not a curated record